RNAcentral lists this transfer RNA (62 nucleotides) under Dictyla platyoma. RNAcentral describes it as "tRNA-Gly". Lineage: Eukaryota; Metazoa; Arthropoda; Insecta; Hemiptera; Tingidae. The record is from RNAcentral.
AUUCUUUUAGUAUAUAAAAUAUAUUUAACUUCCAAUUAAAAGAUCUUAAAAAAGAAAGAAUA